GUAACCUUCUAUGCUUAAAUUACUAUACUCAUAAGUUGCCAGUAGCUGUUGUAUACCUCUAUACAAUACCUGGAAGAACUCAGUAACUCCCAAUAAUGCCCGCCAUCCAGCACUGCCUCCUAACAAUGAGACCGCUAAUUUAAAAAAAAAAAAGUCACCCUUCGGUAACAUAAAUAAGCCCUAAGAAAACCACCCAAAAUAAAGUGAGUCAAAAGGUGAGAGAAGCGUACAAGGCGCCCAACAUGCGUUUCGGCGCUACUACAAUGCGCCUUUGUCCGGGGCUAAUGUCAAGACACCCUCCGCUCGUUAAUUAGGUAUGUGAAAGUGAUACAUACUCACUUUCUGUAUACCUAGUGGCCAUCUGUUUUUAAUGUGUGCUACUUAGGGCACAUGACCUCACUAUUAUUACAGAGUAUCCAUCUUAUUUCUCCCAGAUAUGAUGGAUCUCUUUUUUGGGAGAUUAUAG
Molecule: non-coding RNA, 466 nt
Organism: Pelobates cultripes (western spadefoot toad)
Lineage: Eukaryota; Metazoa; Chordata; Amphibia; Anura; Pelobatidae
Source: the annotation of a GenBank genome assembly